GACGAACGCUGGCGGCGUGCCUAAUACAUGCAAGUCGAGCGGACCAAAGGGAGCUUGCUCCUGGAGGUCAGUGGCGAACGGGUGAGUAACACGUGGGCAACCUGCCUGUAAGACUGGGAUAACAUCGAGAAAUCGGUGCUAAUACCGGAUAAUAAAAAGAACUGCAUGGUUCUUUUUUGAAAGAUGGUUUCGGCUAUCACUUACAGAUGGGCCCGCGGCGCAUUAGCUAGUUGGUGAGGUAACGGCUCACCAAGGCAACGAUGCGUAGCCGACCUGAGAGGGUGAUCGGCCACACUGGGACUGAGACACGGCCCAGACUCCUACGGGAGGCAGCAGUAGGGAAUCUUCCGCAAUGGACGAAAGUCUGACGGAGCAACGCCGCGUGAGUGAUGAAGGUUUUCGGAUCGUAAAACUCUGUUGUUAGGGAAGAACAAGUGCCGUUCGAAAGGGCGGCACCUUGACGGUACCUAACGAGAAAGCCACGGCCAACUACGUGCCAGCAGCCGCGGUAA
This 512-nucleotide ribosomal RNA is filed under the name uncultured bacterium. Its description in RNAcentral is "bacterial SSU rRNA". It matches the Rfam family "Bacterial small subunit ribosomal RNA", at positions 28 to 523 of the family's 1533-position model. The record is from RNAcentral.